Molecule: unclassified non-coding RNA, 376 nt
Filed under: soil metagenome
Description: partial contains 5.8S ribosomal RNA, internal transcribed spacer 2, and large subunit ribosomal RNA
Rfam family: 5.8S ribosomal RNA (bases 1-120)
Source: RNAcentral
GAUGAAGAACGUAGUGAAAUGCGAUAAGUAAUGUGAAUUGCAGAAUUCAGUGAAUCAUCGAAUCUUUGAACGCAUCUUGCGCUCCUUGGUAUUCUGAGGAGCAUGCCUGUUUGAGUGUCAUUAAAUUCUCAACUACACUGACUUUGAAUUGGUGUGGCUUGGAUUUGGGGGGAAAAUUGUUGUGGGCUUUUUGUAUAGUCUGCUCCCCUGAAAUUGAUUAGCGGUACCUUUGUGGAACUGUCUACAGGUGUGAUAAUUAUCUACAUCUUAGACAUCUGCUGGAAUGCUGCUUUCUAAACCUUACUUGUAUUGACAAUCUUGACCUCAAAUCAGGUAGGACUACCCGCUGAACUUAAGCAUAUCAAUGAGCGGAGGA